UGGAAGCUUCCUUCCCUGUCUGGGUUC
RNAcentral lists this non-coding RNA (27 nucleotides) under Mus musculus (house mouse). Lineage: Eukaryota; Metazoa; Chordata; Mammalia; Rodentia; Muridae. The record is from RNAcentral.